RNAcentral lists this ribosomal RNA (253 nucleotides) under uncultured bacterium. Its description in RNAcentral is "partial 16S ribosomal RNA". It matches the Rfam family "Bacterial small subunit ribosomal RNA", at positions 524 to 776 of the family's 1533-position model. The record is from RNAcentral.
UACAGGGGGUGCAAGCGUUACUCGGAAUUACUGGGCGUAAAGAGCGUGUAGGCGGCUUAGCAAGUUUGGUGUGAAAUCCCUGGGCUCAAUCCAGGAAGUGCAUUGAAUACUGCUGAGCUAGAGUAUAGGAGAGGUGAGCGGAAUUCCCGGUGUAGAGGUGAAAUUCGUAGAUAUCGGGAGGAACAACAGAAGCGAAGGCGGCUCACUGGACUAUUACUGACGCUAAGGCGCGAAAGCGUGGGGAGCAAACAGG